RNAcentral lists this ribosomal RNA (353 nucleotides) under Streptococcus sp. C1448. Its description in RNAcentral is "bacterial SSU rRNA". It matches the Rfam family "Bacterial small subunit ribosomal RNA", at positions 342 to 687 of the family's 1533-position model. Lineage: Bacteria; Bacillati; Bacillota; Bacilli; Lactobacillales; Streptococcaceae. The record is from RNAcentral.
CGGGAGGCAGCAGUAGGGAAUCUUCGGCAAUGGGGGGAUCCCUGACCGAGCAACGCCGCGUGAGUGAAGAAGGUUUUCGGAUCGUAAAGCUCUGUUGUUAAGGAAGAACGAGUGUGAGAAUGGAAAGGUCAUACUGUGACGGUACUUAGCCAGAAAGGGACGGCUAACUACGUGCCAGCAGCCGCGGAAAUACAUAGCUCCCGAGCGUUGUCCGGCUUUAUUGGGCGUAAAGCGAGCGCACGAGGUUAGAAAAGUCUGAAGUGACAGGCAGUGACUCAGCCAUUGUAGGCUUUGGAAACUGUUGAACGUGAGUGCAGAAGGACAGAGUGGAAUUCCAUGUGUAGCGGUGAAAU